GCCGAAGUGGUGGAAUUGGUAGACACGUCGGUCUCAAACACCGAUGGCGCGAGCCGUGCCGGUUCGAUUCCGGCCUUCGGUACCA
Molecule: transfer RNA, 85 nt
Filed under: Pelovirga terrestris
Lineage: Bacteria; Pseudomonadati; Thermodesulfobacteriota; Desulfuromonadia; Geobacterales; Geobacteraceae
Also listed under: 1 other name
Description: Pelobacter sp. M08fum tRNA-Leu
Rfam family: tRNA
About the family: Transfer RNA (tRNA) molecules are approximately 80 nucleotides in length.
Source: RNAcentral